UCCCCCAUGAUUUCCACCGAGACGCAGCCCACACAGGAGCUUCUCCAUGCCGCCGUGCAGGCCAUGUGCUGCUGCCGCCGCAUAGGGGGGCGGCUGCACCGUGCACUGUCGGAGGAAGGAGCGCUGCGUUUUCAGUUGGUCCAGGCCGCGACACCACCCGCCGGGAGAUAGUGGUCGAGGGCAUCGCCUCGCCGUUGUCAGGGUCUGCGACUUCGCCGAGGUUGCCGCCUGCGCGUGCAGGUUGCGGUUCUCGGGCGCUCUACGCCGGAGGACGUCCGCAUGCUGCGCAUCGGAAAUCGAGGCCGAGCAGAGCGUCGAGGGGGCGCCAACGCACCGCGUGCUCAGGAGCGCCGAGCGGUUGACGGCGAGCGUCACCGCGCCACACGUCGGGGCUGCCGUUGCCCUGCGCGUCUCCGCAUGAUGGAGGCAGGGAGUCGGUGUAAAGCGCCUGAGGGCCCGCCACCGUUUCCGACGCCAGAGGCCAAGCCGGUGGUGCCGGUGUUCCAGUCCAGUCCAUCAUGGGGCCGAGGCCAGACGAAGCCGAUGCCGUCGUCAUUGACGUUCUUGAUGGCCUGAUGGCGACGAGCGCCACCACCAAGUCCAGAGACGAUGGGUAUCGCUCUCAAAAAGGCAGUUAGAAAUCGAGAGAUUUCUGUCGUGACCGUGCACAGGGCGAGGCUGCCGCUUGGAAGCGCUUGCGCCGGGCUGAUGGCCGCGCCACCACUCCGAACCGAGGGCUGCGGUCGUUGAACUCGCGAACGAGGCUCGUAGCCAGGCGCCGAUAGAAUCGCUCCGCCGGAAGCGUGCUGAUAACGUGUUGGAACUAAUCGAGAGGCAAAUCGAGAGAGACAACAAUGAAUCGAACUGUAUAUUUUUAACAAUGAAUCGAACUGUAUAUUUUUAUUGAUGAUUGACACGAUAUAUAUACAAUGGUAACGGACACGAUGGUUCGCUA
Triticum dicoccoides is the source of this 955-nucleotide long non-coding RNA. RefSeq lists it as uncharacterized. The transcript is spliced from 2 exons. The record is from RefSeq and is a predicted model, not a curated record. Lineage: Eukaryota; Viridiplantae; Streptophyta; Magnoliopsida; Poales; Poaceae.